Gossypium raimondii (Peruvian cotton) is the source of this 107-nucleotide small nucleolar RNA. It matches the Rfam family "Plant small nucleolar RNA R71". From Rfam's summary of the family: R71 is a member of the C/D box family of snoRNAs containing the C (UGAUGA) and D (CUGA) box motifs. Multiple nearly identical copies of this snoRNA have been identified in Arabidopsis, and it is thought to function as a 2'-O-ribose methylation guide for 18S ribosomal RNA. The record is from Rfam. NCBI's taxonomy places the organism in Eukaryota, Viridiplantae, Streptophyta, Magnoliopsida, Malvales, Malvaceae.
AUUCCGUGAUGAGGGCACUUCUGUAACGAUUCUUUGUACCUUUCCCAUGCCACAAACAAUGACUCAUCAUCCAUUUUUUGGAAAGUAGAGAUCUUGUUUCUCAACUU